AUAGCAUCCGCUUCCCCAGAACUUCUCCAAGCUCCACCCUCAGCUAACCUCCUCUCCAACUCUUGUGCUUUCUCCUUAGUCAAAACACCCAAUCUAAUCCGCGGUUGUCCCCGAGCACCCCUCAUCUUCCUCUUCACCCAGAGAGAGACAUCCAUCACUAGGAGUCUAUGAAGAGUCGAAAGGGACUCUCCCGUAAUAACCUUGCAGUC
Molecule: long non-coding RNA, 209 nt
Filed under: Nicotiana benthamiana
Lineage: Eukaryota; Viridiplantae; Streptophyta; Magnoliopsida; Solanales; Solanaceae
Description: long non-coding RNA (NBEN_LNC000295)
Source: RNAcentral